UAUUGGGCCUAUAGCUUUCCCCGUCCCCCCUUUGUCAGGUGGUGCUUGUGUGGGCGGUGCGCCACCAGAAAUCGAGCUUGAAGCUCUUGCCUUACCAACGAGUCGACAACUAAUGGUUGUUGGUCACGACUACUACCAAAAAGCUCUAAUGAAGAUGAUUAUUUCACAUGGGGAGUUUGCAUUUGUAUGUUGGGUGUUCUUCUGUCUAACACUAAGAAGAUAAUGAUAGAACACCUAUGCAAUCAUUGA
Molecule: long non-coding RNA, 249 nt
Organism: Juglans microcarpa x Juglans regia
Lineage: Eukaryota; Viridiplantae; Streptophyta; Magnoliopsida; Fagales; Juglandaceae
Exons: 3
Source: RefSeq, a predicted model, not a curated record